This 530-nucleotide long non-coding RNA is filed under the name Homo sapiens (human). RNAcentral's name for it is "HSALNT0355630". Lineage: Eukaryota; Metazoa; Chordata; Mammalia; Primates; Hominidae. The record is from RNAcentral.
GGCAGAGGAGAACAAAGGAAGGAGGAAGUAACUGGUGGAAUGCUGAGAAAGCAUUUCAGUGUGCGGCAUCAUCAUGCAAGCUCUGUAAGAGGAGAGUAAGAUCAGUACUCCUACUUGUAAAUGAAAGAGAAGAAAACAAAAACAAGCAAAUUCCUUCUAAGGUGUGAGGAACACGAGUAAACAGAGAAAUCACCUAAGGAGAAAACAGGAAGCAGAUUUGAAACUGUGGCCACCAACGACACGAGGGAGCGCAAAACCCAGCCCACUUGCCAGGGAGGCUGGCAGAGCCCACACCCAGUCUGGUGCCCUGGUCGGUUACAUUCUGCUCUCCCUGCAGCAUUUUUAGAAGGUACCAAAUAAGAAAAACGUGGAUGAAGAUGGAGAAAGCAUACAAAACUUUUACACACUGGUUUGAAGCUGUCACCGCGCGGAACAUAAAGAACAGGCCAAGACCAGUGCAGGCAUCGACGACUUUCUCCAUUCAGAGCCUCCGCGCAUCCCAAAUAAAUAAACACAUCAAAACGUGCAAA